This is a long non-coding RNA of Vicia villosa (hairy vetch), 1448 nucleotides long. RefSeq lists it as uncharacterized. The record is from RefSeq and is a predicted model, not a curated record. The transcript has 3 exons. NCBI's taxonomy places the organism in Eukaryota, Viridiplantae, Streptophyta, Magnoliopsida, Fabales, Fabaceae.
CUACUUCAAGAUGACCAUACCACAAUUCUCUCCCAUAUUCUCUCUCUUUUCGUCAACAACAAUCUAUCUUCUCUCUCUGGUCUUCAAACCUAGGGCGCCCGAAAUUCACCUUUAAAUGGAAAACGAAGUGAAACCCUUCUCAUCUUUCAUUGCAAUCUCUCUUUCACUCCUCAUUCUAUUCAUUCUCUUCAUCUCUCAUUAACAUGGGGUUCAACCCUCUCAUUCUCAAAACACAUGAAAGAAGAUGAAUAGGGUUUCAUAAACCAGUUUGAUUUUGGUUAUCAAUUGUGAAAAGUUUGAGUUAUCAAGAUGAUUAAGAAACUGAUGGAUCCAUCAUUUGUCCAGCUGACCACAACUCAGUAGUCGGGAUCAAGCCGGUUGUUGUACUCACUAGCAGGGAUGGGUAAGUGCAACAACUUUUGGCGUGUUUACAACAACCUUGCUGACAUUUUUAAAUAUAAAUGACUAAUUUGAAACCAAAAGAAAAAUAAAGAUAAAAUGACCUGCUCUAACUAUAAAUUAAGUUAAAUGUAUGUAUUUUUUAUUACAACCCAAUGUGCAGGGCAUUUUCAGAUGCAGUUCAUGUGCUUGAUGUAAUGGUUGGGUUUGACCCAAGAGAUUACUAAGCUCCAAAGUCCGCGGAAAAGUUUAUACCUUAAGAUGGUUAUAAGCAAUUCCUCAAUAAACAAGGGCUUAAAGGAAAGAUAAUAAGUGUUUUGAGGAAUUCAUUUUUGGUUGGAUCAAAUGUCACUUCCAUCUUUGAAGAUCAUCUCAACGUGUUAAGGUAAAAAAAUACAAUAUAAUUCAUAACACUGUCUCAUUAUGACACUAUAUCUAUAAUAAAACUGAGACUGUGUGUAUUUAUUUGCAAAUUGAAGAGAAAGAACAUUGGUGGAUAAUUUGAAAGUAGAAAAUGUUAAGCCAAAAUGUUAAUCACAAUUUUGUAAUUAUUAUAAUUAUGUAAAUACAUCUAUUGCUUGCUUAAGUGUAUUGAGUUUUAUAAAUUUUUCUACUGCAUUUGGUGAGUAAGAUCUAUUCUUAUCAACUGUGUUAUUAUCUGAAGUAAUCUAUUGCAAUUUAAUUUGUCUCUUCAGUGAAAUGCAUGAUGUGUAACCAUGAGAACCAUCCAAAUGAAAUUUCACUGUGUUAUCAAUUGUGUUAUCAGUUAAAGUGAUUUGCUUACUGUCGGAGCUUCUUUUUAAUUCAUUUUUAUUUGUUUCACCAUGAGAACCAUCCAAAUAAAAUUUCAUAGCGCACUUACGGUGUUUGUAUAGUUGAUGUUGCCACAAGCAGAGUCAUUAUCGGGCAAGUAUGAUGUAUGAUUAUGGUAUUCGAAUUCUCAGGGGGAUUAGUUUUCAAGAAUAUGUAUUGGCAGUUGUUUUCUUCAGUAGAUUAGCUUUCAGAAAAUUCAGUAGAUUUUUUCCACAUAACACUUGAGUUCAGGUAGC